GGGGGCGUAGCUCAGAUGGUAGAGCGCUCGCUUCGCAUGCGAGAGGUACGGGGAUCGAUACCCCGCGUCUCCA
Molecule: transfer RNA, 73 nt
Filed under: Nephila pilipes (giant wood spider)
Lineage: Eukaryota; Metazoa; Arthropoda; Arachnida; Araneae; Nephilidae
Rfam family: tRNA
About the family: Transfer RNA (tRNA) molecules are approximately 80 nucleotides in length. Their secondary structure includes four short double-helical elements and three loops (D, anti-codon, and T loops). Further hydrogen bonds mediate the characteristic L-shaped molecular structure. tRNAs have two regions of fundamental functional importance: the anti-codon, which is responsible for specific mRNA codon recognition, and the 3' end, to which the tRNAs corresponding amino acid is attached (by aminoacyl-tRNA synthetases). tRNAs cope with the degeneracy of the genetic code in two manners: having more than one tRNA (with a specific anti-codon) for a particular amino acid; and 'wobble' base-pairing, i.e. permitting non-standard base-pairing at the 3rd anti-codon position.
Source: Rfam by way of RNAcentral